This 253-nucleotide ribosomal RNA is filed under the name uncultured bacterium. Its description in RNAcentral is "partial 16S ribosomal RNA". It matches the Rfam family "Bacterial small subunit ribosomal RNA", at positions 524 to 776 of the family's 1533-position model. The record is from RNAcentral.
UACGUAGGGUGCAAGCGUUAAUCGGAAUUACUGGGCGUAAAGCGUGCGCAGGCGGUUUUGUAAGACUGUCGUGAAAUCCCCGGGCUCAACCUGGGAAUGGCGAUGGUGACUGCAAGGCUAGAGUUUGGCAGAGGGGGGUAGAAUUCCACGUGUAGCAGUGAAAUGCGUAGAGAUGUGGAGGAACACCGAUGGCGAAGGCAGCCCCCUGGGUCAAAACUGACGCUCAUGCACGAAAGCGUGGGGAGCAAACAGG